UACAGAGGGGGCAAGCGUUGUUCGGAAUUACUGGGCGUAAAGGGCGCGUAGGCGGCCUAUUAAGUCAGACGUGAAAUCCCUCGGCUCAACCGGGGAAUUGCGUCUGAUACUGGUGGGCUUGAGUUCGGGAGAGGAAUGUGGAAUUCCAGGUGUAGCGGUGAAAUGCGUAGAUAUCUGGAGGAACACCGGUGGCGAAGGCGGCAUUCUGGACCGACACUGACGCUGAGGCGCGAAAGCCAGGGGAGCAAACGGG
Molecule: ribosomal RNA, 253 nt
Filed under: uncultured bacterium
Lineage: Bacteria
Description: partial 16S ribosomal RNA
Rfam family: Bacterial small subunit ribosomal RNA
Source: RNAcentral